AUUGAACGCUGGCGGCAGGCUUAACACAUGCAAGUCGAGCGGAGACUUCGGUCUUAGCGGCGAACGGGUGAGUAAUACCUAGGAAUCUGCCUAUUAGUGGGGGAUAACGAAUCGAAAGGUUCGCUAAUACCGCAUACGUCCUACGGGAGAAAGGGGGGAGUCUUCGGACCUCUCGCUAAUAGAUGAGCCUAGGCCGGAUUAGCUAGUUGGUAGGGUAAAGGCCUACCAAGGCGACGAUCUGUAGCUGGCCUGAGAGGGGGAUCCCCCCACACUGGUACUGAGACACGGACCAGACUCCUACGGGAGGCAGCAGUGAGGAAUAUUGGACAAUGGGCGAGAGCCUGAUCCAGCCAUGCCGCGUGCAGGAAGACGGCCCUAU
RNAcentral lists this ribosomal RNA (379 nucleotides) under uncultured bacterium. Its description in RNAcentral is "bacterial SSU rRNA". It matches the Rfam family "Bacterial small subunit ribosomal RNA", at positions 30 to 420 of the family's 1533-position model. The record is from RNAcentral.